This 460-nucleotide ribosomal RNA is filed under the name uncultured bacterium. RNAcentral's name for it is "partial 16S ribosomal RNA". It matches the Rfam family "Bacterial small subunit ribosomal RNA", at positions 338 to 795 of the family's 1533-position model. The record is from RNAcentral.
CCUACGGGAGGCAGUAGUGAGGAAUAUUGGUCAAUGGGCGAGAGCCUGAACCAGCCAAGUCGCGUGAAGGAUGACGGCUCUAUGGUUUGUAAACUUCUUUUAUAUGGGGAUAAAGUGCGGAACGUGUUCCUUUUUGUAUGUACCCUAUGAAUAAGCAUCGGCUAACUCCGUGCCAGCAGCCGCGGUAAUACGGAGGAUGCGAGCGUUAUCCGGAUUUAUUGGGUUUAAAGGGUGCGUAGGUGGUUAAUUAAGUCAGCGGGGAAAGUUUGUGGCUCAACCAUGAAAUUGCGGUGGAAACUGGUUGACUUGAGUGUAUUUGAGGUAGGUGGAAUGCGUGGUGUAGCGGUGAAAUGCAUAGAUAUCACGAAGAACUCCGAUUGCGAAGGCAGCUUACUAAACUGUAACUGACACUGAAGCACGAAGGCGUGGGGAUCAAACAGGAUUAGAUACCCGGGUAGUC